GAAUCUCUUUAGAGAUAAAACAGGAGAAUAGACACGAGAAUUCAGGAUGGGGAAGAGCUCUGAUCAGCGUCCGGGAAGAUUUCCUCGAGGAGGUGGUAACCAAGAAGGAUGCUGGGAGAAGAGGGGUAUGCUGAGAGAAAAUGAGGCGCCAGGCAGUAUGGACCAAGGCCCGGAGAGACUGACACGAGGAGGUUACUCACUCAAUCUGAACGGGAGGAAGGACCUAGACCAGAAGAGUGAGGGACGGCUCCUCGGGGUCACGUGGGAAGGGAGUGUGAGUGUGUGUGUGUGUGGGGGCUCUGCCUUCAGAUUCCUUUAGAUCUUUUCCUACCACGCCCCCAAAAGCUCCAUCUCUCCGAAUGCGGAGCACUCAAAGGACUGUGAGACUCUCUAGCACACUUCAAUCUCAGGCAGCAGCUCCUCCCUUUCUCCCUGCUCCCCAACCAGCUCCAGGUGCUCUGCACCCCUGCCGUCGGUCUCAGCCUGCGCCUGGCGUUGCUUAGGACUUUCAGUUCACCACAUCCCAGGUGGGCUUAAAACACCGAAGGAGAAAGCGGCCACAGGAAAGUAAGGAAGAGACAGAGGACCGUCUGGAAGUGAUAGAACAGGAAAGAACCUUUAAUUACUCCCAGGAGUGUGGAAAUUUGUCCCAGUGCCCGCAAGUCCUUCUGGGAAUGGUAGUCUGGGAGCUGCGGUGCCUUCUGCGCAUGCCUGAACUCUGGCGAACCACAGUCAAGCAGCUUUUGUAAACACCUCCAUGUGUUCUGAGAUGUGUCCUGUGAGAUGAGGAGGAUCGAAAGGAUAAACAUUUUUCUGGAGAAGAAAAGGACGAGGCCCUAGUGAAUGCCCAGAGAGCGAAAAAGCAGUUCAACAAAUAUGCCAGAGGAGAGACGUGAUGACUCGGUCUCUAGUCUCCUUGUCUGUAUCAACACGGUUGAAAAUCUCAUGUCCUGCAGAUUCAGUCAGACUGUAAGCACUAGCUACUUACAGGACCCCAGACUUCUCAGUUAUAGUAUAUCCAGCCUGAACUUUGGGCUCUCUGCUCAGUUUGGUGGCAAUGGGUCUGGGAUAGAUUUAUUCCUCAUAAUCAGCAACGUGGAGGCUAAAUGUCAGCAGGGCAAUCAAUAUCCUCACAAGGUACCCAACACUGUACAUAAAGCUCAGGGGAACAGAAGCUUUCUUCAAGGUCCCCUAGGGAAAAUAAGUUACUGCUUCAUAUUUUGGACUGAGCUCAGCUGGGAGUCCAUGCCACUGAAAGGAAAAAAUUUUUAUUGCUUUUAUAUUAUUGAUCAUAAAACUAACGAUCAUAUAUAA
RNAcentral lists this long non-coding RNA (1314 nucleotides) under Monodelphis domestica (gray short-tailed opossum). RNAcentral's name for it is "lncRNA (ENSMODG00000047176.1)". Lineage: Eukaryota; Metazoa; Chordata; Mammalia; Didelphimorphia; Didelphidae. The record is from RNAcentral.